This 461-nucleotide ribosomal RNA is filed under the name uncultured archaeon. RNAcentral's name for it is "bacterial SSU rRNA". It matches the Rfam family "Archaeal small subunit ribosomal RNA", at positions 879 to 1339 of the family's 1478-position model. The record is from RNAcentral.
CCACAAGGGGUGAAGCCUGCGGUUCAAUUGGAGUCAACGCCAGGAAACUUACCAGGAGAGACAGCAGGUUGAGGGUCAAGCUGAAGACUUUACCUGACGAGCUGAGAGGAGGCGCAUGGCCGUCGCCAGCUCGUGCCGUGAGGCGUCCUGUUAAGUCAGGCAACGAGCGAGACCCCUGUUGGUAAUUGCUAACAGUUCAGAGAUGGAUUGAGGCUAGUUACCAAGACUGCCGCUGCUAAAGCGGAGGAAGGAGGGGGCCACGGCAGGUCAGUAUGCCCCGAAACUCCUGGGCCACACGCGGGCUGCAAUGGUAAGGACAAUCGGUUCCGACCUCGAAAGAGGAAGGCAAUCCACAAACCUUACCCCAGUUGUGAUUGAGGGUUGAAACCCGCCCUCAUGAAUAUGGAAUCCCUAGUAACCGCGUGUCAUCACCGCGCGGUGAAUACGUCCCUGCUCCUCGU